Molecule: ribosomal RNA, 305 nt
Filed under: uncultured bacterium
Lineage: Bacteria
Description: bacterial SSU rRNA
Rfam family: Bacterial small subunit ribosomal RNA
Source: RNAcentral
UCGCCCCUACGGGGCGCAGCAGUGGGGAAUAUUGCACAAUGGGGGAAACCCUGAUGCAGCGACGCCGCGUGAGUGAAGAAGUAUUUCGGAAUGUAAAGCUCUAUCAGCAGGGAAGAAAUAGCGACCUUUGGGUCGCCAGACGGUACCUGAUUAAGAAGCCCCGGCUAACUACGUGCCAGCAGCCGCGGUAAUACGUAGGGGGCAAGCGUUAUCCGGAUUUACUGGGUGUAAAGGGAGCGUAGGCGGCGAUGCAAGUCAGAAGUGAAAGCCCGGGGCUCAACUCCGGGACUGCUUUUGAAAAUGUG